Molecule: non-coding RNA, 6360 nt
Organism: Sus scrofa (pig)
Lineage: Eukaryota; Metazoa; Chordata; Mammalia; Artiodactyla; Suidae
Source: RefSeq, a predicted model, not a curated record
ACCGAACCCAAAACCUCAUGCUUCCUAGUCAGAUUUGUUAACCACUGAGCCACGACGGGAGCUCCGAAGAGCACUUUUAUUUUAAUCUAUAUUUGUUUUGGGUUCUUCUUGACAAUAGGCCAUAUGCAACAAAAAUAAUAUUGCUUUGAGUUGUUUUUCACUUAAUUCCUUGUCUAAAAUCUCUUAUGUUAAACUCGGGUAAAUGCAGGCAUAACCUCUCGCUCGAAUACAGACAGAGGGAGAUGAUCUUUUAAAGGGUAGCCGGCCUGGUGGGUGUCCUAUUCCUCUCGGCUAAUUCUGGGUAAGGAUGGUCAGCAUCCUCAUUCAGGAAUAUCUGUCAUGAAGAGUGAGAUUUUAGUGCUGGGAAGGGUCAUCCCGGAAACCCACCUGGGCAAGGAAGGCCCUAAGAGGGCUUCAAAGCAGUAGAAGUAGGACUUUCCAGAGGAAUCCCAUAAGGCAACCUGUGGAGGUUGGCCACUGGGUAAAGGACUCGGUGAACAGGCAGAACAGUAAAUAUGGGAUUUAGUAAUUGACAAGUCUUCAUCUAGCAGCCAAUGAAGCCCAGGAAUAUGAUGUUCCCAGCAACCCAGAUGCAGGGUGACAACAGCUGGGUUUCAGCCAUGGAGUGGGAAAGGGGACAAAAUAGUGACUAUGGAAAUAAGAUCACAUCCCAGGGAAGGACUGUCAUCUCCGUAUUAGCAGUUUACCAUUGGUUCUUCAUCCUCCCUCUGCUCUAAACCGGCUGGUCUCAGAGUCUAGGGCAGGAUCAUAUCUGUGGAUUCAUUUCUGAAAUGUGCUCCAUGGCAGGCACAUGGAUCACCAAGGGUAUUUGUUAAAGGAGAAGUUAUAAAAUCCCUUCUUAGACCUGAGGGCCGCUGUGCUUGGGGAGCUGAGGAAUCUGGAAUUCAAAGUGCAGUUACAAAUGGUUCUAGAAUAUAAGGGCCACUUGCUAUGGGCCAUGCAUAUGUGGUCUCAGGAGUAAUAGUCAGCGAGCAUUGAAGGAGCAGGACGGGGAAACUGCAGAUCAUUACAAAAAUCUAAGUCUAUUUAAAAAUAAUUAUUGGCAUUGGACAGCUGGCACCAAGUGCUCUAAUUACUUAAUCAGUAUAGUGAGACAAAGUGUUCCUUAGAGUAGAGAUUACUAAAGAAGAAAAAGUAACCUCAUUCAAUUCAAAUAACUGAUUUUAUUGAGCGCUUGCUAUAUAUAAAGCGGUAAUAUAGAACUUCAGAAAAGUAAUCAUGAGAUAGGCUUAGAGUUACUUAUUGGAUUGUUCUCUCCAAGACUUUCCCUUCUCUCUAUCGAUUCUUCCUUUGGGUGGAAUGCUCAUAAAUCAUGAAGCAGUUCCUUUUCAAGAGUCCAAAAUAAGAUUCUGCUUCAAUCUUACCUUGCUAUUUGAGAAGCAACAAAAAGAGAAACAGCAAAAGGGAAGUUUGCUACCACAUUUUUCAGAAAGACUUCUGGGGGUCUGUACAGUUACAUGGUAACACACAUAGCAUGCUGUGUAUACUAAGGCUGGCAACAGUCAAUUCAGAGAAAGAUUUGGUCCAACUCAGUUGCAAAGUCCAGCUCUUUUGGUCAAUGGCUCAGAGCAGGGGUAGAGAUGCAAGACCAAGGCUAAAAGGCCAGCAGUAAAAGUGGAGGUGGCAAGGUGGAGGGCCAAUCUUGGUUCCCUAAUCAGACUAUUCCUAGCCCUGUAGCUAUGGGGAGGGCACAUGAAUUACGCUAGGGCAGGUGCCAAAACCAUCUGCAAGAAAGCCUCCUUUUCUGUUCAUAGUCAGUAGGAUAUUCACUUUCCUAACCAAAGCAAAAGUCAGAUUUUUCACAUCCUUCUGAACUUCUGAACUCACUGUUGGAGAAGCCUUUUUUUUUUUUUGCUUGGUUAAACCAACUUUGCCAGUUUGUGGAGAAAUCUGGUGGAGAGUUGAGGGACUAUAUUUGAUUUUGCAUUGAGGUCCAUGUUUAUUAGUUAUACCACUGAUCUCAUCAGCCUCUGUGACCCUGUCUGAAAGAAACACAUUUGCCUGAAAUCAUUUUCAACUUUUCAUUGUUUAAACACUGAGUCAGAACACACACGAAUAUAAACAUUUGGGAUUUUCCUGUCUUUAGAAAUCCAUAAUCGCCUCUCCCACCCACCUAAUCAAAUGUGAGAACAUAUUUAAUUUGGCCCACCCCAGGAAGCAACAAUCCAGUUGAGUGCUCAAAUAUAAUCUGGGAGUUAAGCCCAAAUGAUUGAAAAAAAUCUAAGAAAAUUGUCUAAUUUUUUAAUAGCAGUUUCUGUGUAUAGAAUUCUAGACUAAGAAAUACUUCCAGAUGCUUUGGAACUAGAUAGAAGUGGUGGUUGCACAACAUUAUAAAUGUAUUAUUGCCACUGAAUUGUUCACUUUUUUUUUUUUUUGUCUUUUUGCCUUUUCUUGGGCUGCUCCUGAGGAAUAUGGAGGUUCGUUCCCAGGCUAGGGGUCGAAUUGGAGCUGUGGCCACCGGCCUAUGCCAGAGCCACAGCAACGUGGGAUCCGAGCCGCAUCUGCAAUCUACACCACAGCUUAUGGCAACACUGGAUUGUUAAUCCACUGAGCAAGGCCAGGGAUCGAACCCGCAACCUCAUGGUUCCUAGUCGGAUUCAUUAACCACUGAGCCACGACAGGAACUCCUGAAUUGUUCACCUUUAAGUGGUUUAUUUUAUACUAUAUAAAUUUCACCUCGUUUUUUAAAAAGAAAUCUUUUCAGAAUUAUUGAUUUCUUUAUAACUGAGAACCUAAAUGUAGAAGGACUCUCCACUCUUUGUAUCAUUCUUUCCUUUUUUAUAUGCUGGUAUAGAUACAUCUAAGCCAUUCAAAGGCUUAGAGAUAACAUUUUCUUUCCCCUCCAUUGAUUUUUCUUUUCUGUUGCACAAGCAUUGAUUCUUUCCUCUGCCCUCCGUCACCCCCCACCAGCUCUUUAUGUGCAGUUAGUUCUGCCUGGGCUUGCAAUUGAGAAUCAUUGGGGUCUGAAUCUGAUGCAGCUUUUCUUGCAGGAAACAGAUCACCACUCCAUGGUGCGGGUGAUCUCAGAAUGUCUUUGUUUUUACUGUUGUGGGAUGUCAGGAAAGACAGGUGAAGGUACUUCUUGGGGGGGAUGGAGGUUAUGCUUUAUAGGUGGGUGGGCUGCUAUUUGUGAGCCAUCAGUCAUGGGGGCAGCUGGAAAGGGAGCGAUUCUGUCACGCCCCCACCCCCACCACUGGUGCUAUAACAAGCUGAAGCACUGACUGUAAAUGCCCUACUCCCUCCAACCCAGUCACUGAUGCAAGGCAGCUGGGACUAGUUCUUCCUUUCUAUAACCUUCUCUUUUAUUUAUUAAAAUCCACAUUCAUAUAUACACUUUUCUCUUGUCCAUGAUCUCAUUUAAACAUUCAUGAUUCUGUGAAGCAGGGAGAGUUGCAGAAGAGGACACCAACGCUCCCAGACCUUGCCUGGCUUGCCCAAGACCACUUUUCUAAGAAGAUAUGGAAACACGAGCCCUCGAAUGUGGGGUUUUCAAUAACCUCAUUCUUUGUACUUCAUCAACGUGUUGUGCUAUGCCCCCUUCUGAGAGUUCUGUGGAUGGUUUACUUCUAAUGAUGGUUUUGCCAGCCAGUGCCCUUUGCAGGGUCACCAUGUAUGUUUGUGCAGGUGGGCACUGCACGCUUUGGGGAGCACUGUUCACAAGGACUGCCAGAUGUUCAAUGUUAUGCCCUUGGGUGUUGGCAUUCUUUUUUAUCUGACAUUGCAUGGAGGGGAAAAGACGGUUGUGGUGUAUUCCCGGAGUUCACAGCUAACCUUUACAAACAAUGAUCUAUUGCAGAGUGAGAUCAAUUGAACCACUCCAAGAAUCAGCUGCACCUACUUUACACAAUGUUAUUUUCCCAGUGUUUUUCCAAAGAAGCACCUUUGCAACUGAUGUUUACAUUUUUAAAAUAGAAAUAGAAGGUACUUUUUGUAGAAGUGGAUUUUAAUUCAAUUACUCAAACUUUCAAGUUUCAGGUGUCACAAGAAGCAAGAGUAAAAGGAGGAAGGGAAAUAUGAUGGUUACUUUUAUAUGUCAAGUUGACUAGAUCACGGGGUGCCCAGAUAUUUGGUGAAACAUUAGUUUUUGAUGUAUCUGAGAGAGUGUUUUUGGACGAGAUUAGCAUUUGAAUCAGCAGACUGAGUAAAGCAGAUUGCCUUCAGCGGUGGGAGUGGAUAUCAUUCAAUUCUUUGAGGGCCCCAAGAGGACAAAAAAGUAGGAAAAGGGGCAAAGUCGCUCUGUGCCUGACUGAGCCGGGGCGUUGGUCUUUUCCUGCCAUUGUACCGGGACUUAUACCAUGGGCACUUCUGGGUCUAUGGCUUUUGGACUCAGAUGGCAACUACACCAUUGGCUUUCCUGGGGCUCCCUCCAGCUUACAGAGGGCAGAUUGUGGGGCCUCUUGGCCUCAAUGAUCAUAUGAGCUAAUUCCUUAUAAUAAAUCAUAUGUGUGUGUGUAUGUAUCCUUUCUAAUACAUAAUCUCCUAUUGGUUCUAUUUCUCUGAAGAACCGUGGCUAUUACAGGGGACGAAUUGGGAAAUAAUCAUGACAAAUGACUGAAAUAGUAUUUGUUAGGACUACAUACUGUCCACGUUAAAGAUGAUCUAGAUCAGAUCUUUAGGGAAGAUCGUAUGUUUGGCACCAACAGACAUAAAAGUGAUAUCUUAGCCAUUAGAGAUAAGGACUUCCAUUCAUGGUUGCCAAGAUGGGAUGUUAUACUUAAAUAUACUUAUAUACUUGGUCCAUACAGUUUAGUAUUUUUUAUGUCAAAGCAUUCAAUCAUCCGGAUAUCCACGAUGGAACUGACAGUAUAUAAUGACUAGAUAUUUACUUGCGUCUGUCUAUGGGCAAAAAAAAAAAUGUCUUCCCACAAUUUGUACAUAGUGAGCCUGUAUUUCACAUCCUACAAACAUGAAUUUCUGAAAUAGGAUAAAGAGGUACAUUAAUGCACAUGAAUAAUCUACAGAUACGUAAAAAACAUUUUGAGUUUGGAAAAAGGCUAAAAGUUAGGAGUGACCUUAGCAAGUUGCUUAACUAACUCCUUUGAGCCUCAGCUUUCAUAUCUAUAAAUAGAGCUAAUAUUUCACCCUUGUAUACGUACCUGGUCACACAUCCACUCUGGUUUCUUGAGGGAAUCAAACAGUUACUCUAGGUGAAAGCACUCUGAAAUAUAAAGCACCUGGCGAUGUAGAAGGCACCACUACUUAAACUCCGUUUGUAGAGAAACAUACAUUCUUAGCACAUGCACAGGUACAGACCGGUAAUAGAAAUAAGCUGGAUAGACGGAGAAGUAUAACUGGAUAGCUAGAGAAGGGGAAAAAAAUCUCUUAAUUGAAGAAAGAGAAACAGAAGAUCAGGAGGAAAAGAAUGGGUAGAUAGUUGUUUACAGGUGGAAGGAAGGUGAGAAACUGUAGGGUGAGAUGAGAACAAACUCCUCCACUUUUCUGGGUGAAGAAAAAGAGCCUUAAAAGAAUUAAGCGGGGUUAACUGCCUUAGUGGGCUGGAAUAGCAACAGAGGUGUGGGGUUAGCAUUUAUGGAUUAGAAGACAGGCAACACUUGAGGGGGUGCAGAGAGUCCACACAUAAAAUAGACAUUUUAAAAAAUGAAGAGGUUUGUAUUAUUGUGUGUUAAUCACCACGUCUACAGGGAUUGCCACUUUGCAGGAAAAGACCAGCAUGACUAUGGCCUACACAUGUGCCCCAGUACCUAGGUUGAUGCCCUCACCCACCACGUGAAUGUAAUAGGGCCUUUAAGGAGGUGAUUGAGGUUAAAAUGAGGUCACGGGCGUGGGGCCUUAAGCCAAUCAAACUGGUGCCUUUAUAAGAGGAGGAAGUGACACCAGGGCCUCUUCUGCGGGAAGACAGUGAGGAGGAGGCCGUCUUCGAGCCAAGGAGCGCCCUCUCACCGCAACCCACCACGCUGGCGCCUUGAUCGUGGACUUCCAAACUCCAGAACUUGUGCUUUUCUCUGUAACGAAGUUUCAAUACCUUGAAAAUACUGAACAGGAGCUCCCGUCGUGGCUCAGUGGAUAAAGAAUCUGACUAGGAACCAUGAGGUUGCGGGUUCGACCCCUUUCCUUGCUCAGUGGGUUAAGGAUCCGGCGUUGCCAUGAGCUGUGGUGUAGGUCACAGGACGCAGCUCAGAUCUGGCAAGGCUGUGGCUCUGCUGUAGGCUGGUGGCUACAGCUCCGAUUUGACCCCUAGCCUGGGAAACUCCAUAUUACACGAGUGUGGCCCUAGAAAAGGCAAAAAGACAAAAAAGAAAAUACUGAACACAACUAUUAUUCUGCAAAAGAAUUUCAAUCUAAAAUGGAACCAGAGGAUAUAAAAUGAUAAAAUGGAAA